AACGCAGCGAAGGGCGAUAAGUAAUGUGAAUUGCAGAAUUCAGUGAAUCAUCGAAUCUUUGAACGCACAUUGCCGCCCCUUGGUAUUCCGGGGGGCAUGCCUGUUCGAGCGUCAUUUCAACCCUCAAGCUCUGCUUGGUAUUGGGCCCCUGCUGGCAACGGUAGGACCUUAAAAAUAGUGGCGGUGUCUUUAGGUCCUGAGCGUAGUACAUUUCUCGCUAUAGGUCCCUGAAGGUUACUGGCCAGCAACCCCAAUUUUUCUAUGGUUGACCUCGGAUCAGGUAGGGAUACCCGCUGAACUUAA
This 303-nucleotide ribosomal RNA is filed under the name uncultured fungus. RNAcentral describes it as "eukaryotic LSU rRNA". The stretch from base 1 to 114 matches the Rfam family "5.8S ribosomal RNA", at positions 42 to 154 of the family's 154-position model. The record is from RNAcentral. Lineage: Eukaryota; Fungi.